GUAUUGUAUUGCGUUAAACGCGGCAUGCAUUCCAUGAGACUUUGUUACAGUGUGUGUGUAAAGAUGCAGAACCACAGCAGGAGGGGACAGGCCCCCCCUAACCAUAGAACCACAGAGGGUGCACAGGGUGUGAGUGGAUGUGUGAACAGAGCGUGCACAUGCCCCCAUUAGAGGACCAGCAACAACUCUUGUUGACAAUUCAAUAAUGAUCCUUCCGCAGGUUCACCUACGGAAA
Molecule: unclassified non-coding RNA, 235 nt
Filed under: uncultured fungus
Lineage: Eukaryota; Fungi
Description: sequence contains ITS1
Source: RNAcentral